AGAGUUUGAUCAUGGCUCAGAACGAACGCUGGCGGCGUGCUUAACACAUGCAAGUCGAGUGCGCGUCUGUAGCAAUACAGAUGGCGCACGGCGCACGGGUGCGUAACACGUGGGCAAUCUGCCCUUCGAUGGGGAAUAACUCCGGGAAACCGAAGCUAAUUCCGCAUAACAUUCCUUGGACUUCGGUUCGAGGAUUCAAAGCCGUAAGGCGUCGAAGGAGGAGCCCGCGCCCGAUUAGCUAGUUGGUGAGGUAACGGCUCACCAAGGCAAUGAUCGGUAGCUGGUCUGAGAGGAUGGCCAGCCACACUGGAACUGAGACACGGUCCAGACUCCUACGGGAGGCAGCAGUGGGGAAUCUUGCGCAAUGGGCGAAAGCCUGACGCAGCGACGCCGCGUGGGGGAUGAAGCAUUUCGGUGUGUAAACCCCUUUCGACUGGGACGAAUGCCUCGCAAGAGGAGUGACGGUACCAGUAGAAGAAGCCCCGGCUAACUACGUGCCAGCAGCCGCGGUAAGACGUAGGGGGCCAGCGUUGUUCGGAAUUACUGGGUGUAAAGGGUUCGUAGGCGGUGUGGCAAGUCGGGAGUGAAAUCUAUGGGCUUAACUCAUAGGCUGCUUCCGAAACUGCUGUGCUUGAGUGUGGGAGAGGCGCGUGGAAUUGCAGGUGUAGCGGUGAAAUGCGUAGAUAUCUGCAGGAACACCCGUGGCGAAAGCGGCGCGCUGGACCACAACUGACGCUGAGGAACGAAAGCUAGGGGAGCAAACAGGAUUAGAUACCCUAGUAGUCC
Molecule: ribosomal RNA, 786 nt
Filed under: uncultured bacterium
Lineage: Bacteria
Description: bacterial SSU rRNA
Rfam family: Bacterial small subunit ribosomal RNA
Source: RNAcentral